AUGGUGGGCGGCGUGGCGGUGGUGGGAGUGGUUGUGGGAGGGCGCGAAGGACGGGCGGCGUGGCGGCGGUGGCGGCGGGGCCGGCGAGACGACGGGGCCGUGCUGGUGCGGGGGCGGCUGGCGGCGGCGCCAGCCGGACUGCUGCAGCGCGUAGGCGACGUCGGCGACGGGGAAGAACUGCUGCAUGUGGAUGACGGGCGCCCAGUGGUGGCGGCGCUGCUGCACGGCGGCGAAGACGUGGUCGUACUCGCCCGGGUCGCCGACGGCGCGGAGGUGGACGACGAGGAGGUCGAUGAUGGCGUUGGCGGCGGCGAACUCGCCCCGCAGCCAGGAGAUGAAGCCGUCGCGCUCGUCCAUGAGCCAGCCGGCAGGCUCGGCGGCCCUGUGCACGCCGGCGGGGGAGGGGAUGACGGCCGCGGAGGCCAUGGCCGUGCCUCAGUGGGGGCCGAGGGUCAUAGAAGGGCAAUGCGCGCGGGAGAUCUAGGGUUUUGGCGAGUUUUUCCCCCUGGUAUUUUUCGCCCCUCCCCCUGUGGCCUGGCCUGGUGGCAGCGCUGCGACGAGGAGGAGAGACGGGGGACGGAGGGAGGAGGAGGAGGCUAG
Molecule: ribosomal RNA, 600 nt
Filed under: Triticum aestivum (bread wheat)
Lineage: Eukaryota; Viridiplantae; Streptophyta; Magnoliopsida; Poales; Poaceae
Description: partial small subunit ribosomal RNA
Source: RNAcentral